This is a long non-coding RNA of Callithrix jacchus (white-tufted-ear marmoset), 849 nucleotides long. RefSeq lists it as uncharacterized. NCBI's taxonomy places the organism in Eukaryota, Metazoa, Chordata, Mammalia, Primates, Cebidae. The record is from RefSeq and is a predicted model, not a curated record.
GGACUGGAGCAGACAGGCUGGGAACAGAGGCGGCCUGGGGGGAUGCUCUGCUCAGGGCGCAGGGACAUGGGGCUGUCUGCCUAGGAGGGCCGCCCUCUCUGCCUCUCCAUAUCUGCAGCCUGCCUGCCUGCCUGCCUGUCUCUCCACCCCCAGCCCCAGUGGACCAUCACUUUCUAAGGGGCAGGGGCUGGGCCAGACUUAUCUGAGCACCUCCUGCCAGGUCCCAGGUCUGCAAAUUGGAGUCAACAUCACCACGACUGGUGGAAGGCACUAAGCUCCAUCCUUCACCUGCCAAGGCUGAGCUCUGCUCUAAAGAUGCUUCACAGGAAGCAAACACCGUGAUACAGGCAUUGCCAUGUGAUUUAAGUCAGACCAGUGAGGCUCAACUGUGGGACUCUGGUUGAAACCAAGGGGAGGAUGUGAGUAGAACAGCCCGUGGCCACCUUGCCUGUCACAUGGAGAGAAUCUUACUGCAAAAAGAUGUCAUAGAAAACAGCACAGCCACAGAUGGAAAGACCAAGCCAGAUGACAUAAUUUGAAUUCCUGGAUCCAGCCCUACCUGAAGUCACAUGUGCCAAGAAUUUUCAGUAAUAUGAGCCUUUUGGGUUUUAGACCUGCAUAGUCCAACAUGGUGGCCACAAGCCCCACAUGGCUAUUUAAAUUUAACAUUUAAUUAAUUAAAAUUAAAUAAAACUUAAAACAUCCAGUUUCCCAAUUGCACUAGGCACAUUUCACAUGGUCAGUGUGUACAUGUGGCUGGUGACUACCAUAUCUGGGCAGUGCAGAAGUAGAACAUUUCUACCAUAGAGACAGAGGGAGCCAUGUUUCUGUCCUGUGUGACUAGAAAUC